RNAcentral lists this small nucleolar RNA (50 nucleotides) under Pyrobaculum islandicum DSM 4184. Its description in RNAcentral is "PISsR59". The record is from RNAcentral. Lineage: Archaea; Thermoproteati; Thermoproteota; Thermoprotei; Thermoproteales; Thermoproteaceae.
GUGACGACAUUGGUCUUAGCUGAAUAGUGACGAGGGGAACGAUUACGCGA